GAUGAACGCUGGCGGCGUGCCUAAUACAUGCAAGUCGAGCGAACGGACGAGAAGCUUGCUUCUCUGAUGUUAGCGGCGGACGGGUGAGUAACACGUGGAUAACCUACCUAUAAGACUGGGAUAACUUCGGGAAACCGGAGCUAAUACCGGAUAAUAUUUUGAACCGCAUGGUUCAAAAGUGAAAGACGGUCUUGCUGUCACUUAUCGAUGGAUCCGCGCUGCAUUAGCUAGUUGGUAAGGUAACGGCUUACCAAGGCAACGAUGGAUAGCCGACGUGAGCGGGUGAACGCCCACACUGAAACUGAGCCACGAUCCAGACUCCGACGGGAGGCAGAGGUAGGGAAUCUUCCGCAAUGGGCGAAAGCCUGACGGAGCAAUGCCGCGUGAGUGAUGAAGGCCUUCGGAUCGUAAAACUCUGUUAUUAGGGAAGAACAUAUGUGUAAGUAACUGUGCACAGCUUGACGGUACCUAAUCAGAAAGCCACGGCUAACUACGUG
RNAcentral lists this ribosomal RNA (497 nucleotides) under uncultured bacterium. Its description in RNAcentral is "partial 16S ribosomal RNA". It matches the Rfam family "Bacterial small subunit ribosomal RNA", at positions 28 to 507 of the family's 1533-position model. The record is from RNAcentral.